RNAcentral lists this ribosomal RNA (492 nucleotides) under uncultured bacterium. RNAcentral describes it as "partial 16S ribosomal RNA". It matches the Rfam family "Bacterial small subunit ribosomal RNA", at positions 29 to 507 of the family's 1533-position model. The record is from RNAcentral.
AGUGAACGCUGGCGGUAGGCCUAACACAUGCAAGUCGAACGGCAGCACAGUAAGAGCUUGCUCUUACGGGUGGCGAGUGGCGGACGGGUGAGGAAUACAUCGGAAUCUACUUUUUCGUGGGGGAUAACGUAGGGAAACUUACGCUAAUACCGCAUACGACCUACGGGUGAAAGCAGGGGAUCUUCGGACCUUGCGCGAUUGAAUGAGCCGAUGUCGGAUUAGCUAGUUGGCGGGGUAAAGGCCCACCAAGGCGACGAUCCGUAGCUGGUCUGAGAGGAUGAAUAGCCACACUGGAACUUAGGCACGGGCCAGACUCCUUAGGGAGGCAGCAGUGGGGAAUAUUGGACAAUGGGCGCAAGCCUGAUCCAGCCAUACCGCGUGGGUGAAGAAGGCCUUCGGGUUGUAAAGCCCUUUUGUUGGGAAAGAAAAGCAGCAGGUUAAUACCCCGCUGUUCUGACGGUACCCAAAGAAUAAGCACCGGCUAACUUCGUG